RNAcentral lists this ribosomal RNA (451 nucleotides) under uncultured bacterium. Its description in RNAcentral is "partial 16S ribosomal RNA". It matches the Rfam family "Bacterial small subunit ribosomal RNA", at positions 354 to 796 of the family's 1533-position model. The record is from RNAcentral.
GUGGGGAAUAUUGGACAAUGGGGGGAACCCUGAUCCAGCCAUGCCGCGUGUGUGAAGAAGGCCUUUUGGUUGUAAAGCACUUUAAGCGAGGAGGAGGCUACCGAGAUUAAUACUCUUGGAUAGUGGACGUUACUCGCAGAAUAAGCACCGGCUAACUCUGUGCCAGCAGCCGCGGUAAUACAGAGGGUGCAAGCGUUAAUCGGAUUUACUGGGCGUAAAGCGCGCGUAAGUGGCCAAUUAAGUCAAAUGUGAAAUCCCCGAGCUUAACUUGGGAAUUGCAUUCGAUACUGGUUGGCUAGAGUAUGGGAGAGGAUGGUAGAAUUCCAGGUGUAGCGGUGAAAUGCGUAGAGAUCUGGAGGAAUACCGAUGGCGAAGGCAGCCAUCUGGCCUAAUACUGACACUGAGGUGCGAAAGCAUGGGGAGCAAACAGGAUUAGAUACCCGAGUAGUCC